RNAcentral lists this ribosomal RNA (153 nucleotides) under Thermoanaerobacterium sp. enrichment culture. RNAcentral describes it as "partial 16S ribosomal RNA". It matches the Rfam family "Bacterial small subunit ribosomal RNA", at positions 360 to 529 of the family's 1533-position model. The record is from RNAcentral. Lineage: Bacteria; Bacillati; Bacillota; Clostridia; Thermoanaerobacterales; Thermoanaerobacteraceae.
AAUAUUGUGCAAUGGGGGAAACCCUGACACAGCGACGCCGCGUGAGUGAAGAAGGCCUUCGGGUCGUAAAGCUCAAUAGUAUGGGAAGAAAGAAAUGACGGUACCAUACGAAAGCCCCGGCUAGCUACGUGCCAGCAGCCGCGGUAAUACGUA